RNAcentral lists this long non-coding RNA (393 nucleotides) under Homo sapiens (human). RNAcentral's name for it is "HSALNT0393298". The record is from RNAcentral. Lineage: Eukaryota; Metazoa; Chordata; Mammalia; Primates; Hominidae.
GGCCUACUCAUCAGAGCCUCUGGAAGUGGAUUGGUAUCCCCUCUGCUCCCAGGAAUCCAGUAAAAGUUUGCAGAGGAUGCAGCAGGUGAGUCCUGUAGACAUCAGAGGGGCUUCGACGCUGCACAGCUGCCACUCAGAGGGGACACUGCUGGCCUCGAUCACAUCAUGGAGACCACAAGGAUGCUGGGAAUGCACUUCCCAUUGGCCGAGCUGAGGAUAUGAGCAGGCCAUGGGCUGGAUGGCUCACGCGUUCAGAGGAGGGACAGCGCUUGUUGCAGAGAAUGAGAUUUAGUGUGAUGUGUAUAAAGGUGUUUCAUGGCUAAAGACCAAACAGAGACUAGUGUCUCCCACUCAGGAAGAAUAAUCACCAUGCUAAUGGAUUAAAAUUCUGUU